UCCAUACAGCUGUUGCUUUGAGCUUGAGAAAACAUUCUUGGAUUAUAACAUGAAGAAAAUGGUUACCAAGGAUUAAUAUUUUUAAAAAAGAUGGCGUUGAAGAGCUGCCUCAGAGAUUUUCACAUUCAGAUAACACAAGACACUAAGGAGUUGUCACAGGGAGCUCAGUACUGCAGGAAGCAUUGGUCGACUCUCCUGCCCCCGGGGACUAUCAGGAUCUAACAGCCCGUGAGCUGACGGAGGCCGCAGCAGCCAGCGUCCAGUCCAGAAGAGUAACAUACCUCAUGUGGCAAAAUCAGACAGGCCUUUCAUCCAUGACCCUGUAAACGUUGUUAGCUUUACCUGCGCCUUUAGUCUACACUAAAUUAUAAUAACAAUUUACUCUGCUAACGUUUUGUUAGAUGAUGAAGAUCGAUUUGACAUCAAAUCAACCCCAACAUAUCAGAAUGUUUGCUCUUGGUAUUUGUGGAAAUUAAUUCCCGAUGAUAUUAUUGUUGAAUCAGUGUUUUUAUUUUUAUUU
This is a long non-coding RNA of Danaus plexippus (monarch butterfly), 520 nucleotides long. RefSeq lists it as uncharacterized. Lineage: Eukaryota; Metazoa; Arthropoda; Insecta; Lepidoptera; Nymphalidae. The transcript is spliced from 3 exons. The record is from RefSeq and is a predicted model, not a curated record.